RNAcentral lists this ribosomal RNA (431 nucleotides) under uncultured bacterium. RNAcentral describes it as "partial 16S ribosomal RNA". It matches the Rfam family "Bacterial small subunit ribosomal RNA", at positions 338 to 794 of the family's 1533-position model. The record is from RNAcentral.
CCUACGGGUGGCUGCAGUGGGGAAUUUUGGACAAUGGGCGCAAGCCUGAUCCAGCCAUGCCGCGUGCAGGAUGAAGGCCUUCGGGUUGUAAACUGCUUUUGUGAACAGCCCGGUACCGUAAGAAUAAGCACCGGCUAACUACGUGCCAGCAGCCGCGGUAAUACGUAGGGUGCGAGCGUUAAUCGGAAUUACUGGGCGUAAAGCGUGCGCAGGCGGUGAUGUAAGACAGAUGUGAAAUCCCCGGGCUCAACCUGGGAACUGCAUUUGUGACUGCAUCGCUGGAGUGCGGCAGAGGGGGAUGGAAUUCCGCGUGUAGCAGUGAAAUGCGUAGAUAGGCGGAGGAACACCGAUGGCGAAGGCAAUCCCCUGGGCCUGACUGACGCUCAUGCACGAAAGCGUGGGGAGCAAACAGGAUUAGAUACCCUAGUAUC